RNAcentral lists this long non-coding RNA (1442 nucleotides) under Strigops habroptila (Kakapo). RNAcentral's name for it is "lncRNA (ENSSHBG00005006709.1)". The record is from RNAcentral. Lineage: Eukaryota; Metazoa; Chordata; Aves; Psittaciformes; Psittacidae.
GCUGCCAUGGGCUCAGCCGGGGACCGGCGGGGUGAUGCUGCGGCCGGAGGAGCCCCCGCUGCCGGCGGCUGAGGAGAGCAGAGCGGAGUGCGGCGGCUCGCCCGCUGCCUGACCCCGCCGCCCGGGGAAGAGGGGUUUUUUCAGUGUUCUGAAGCUGGCAUGGGAGGACAUCAUACUGAAGAACCUGUUAAUUUUCAGCAAUACCGAAAUGUUCCUGCUGGAGUCUUUAAUGUUAUAAAGAGCUCUGUGGUUUUCUGCUUUGGCUAUUUUUAAAGUUUUCUAUGCCUACCUUUCCAUCUUAAUGACAUGCCAGGAGAGCACUUCACAUUCCAACAAAGGCAAUGAACUUUUUGAGUGCAAGCAGGUGGCUUUUGGAAAACUUUGUAGAAGAGAUUUAGUGCUGAAUUUUCUUCUUUUCAUGUUCCUUAAUGCAGUGUGAUAAGUUAGAACACUGUACUCAUAUUCUGUGGGCCUGAACAGCUGACAAUAUAAAAUACCUGACCCAAAACUUUUUCUCAAGGAGCAAGGAGAAUCAACAGUGGCUAUGUGGGAACAUUAAAAUGCCAUCUGGAAGUGGUGCUGUUGUGCCUUCGGCUAAAGUUUUCAUGAUAAGUUAACACUGCUUUCGAAAGAUUCAGCGUCUCUUCUUCUCGCUACCUGUUGUCUUUGUUAGUGCUAGCCUUAACAUGGCUGUGUGAGGAAUUGAGUCAAAGAACUGAUCUGAGCUAAAAUGACAUGGCAAAGAUAUUAAUGGUUGGGUUUUGACCCAGAACAAUUUCCUGAUUCAUUCCACUGUGCCUGUCCUCUCAUGUACGAAGGGUUGGCUUUAGGGUGUGAGUGGUGGAAAAGGGUAGGCUACUUCUACUGCCAAUGCCAGCUUAUAGAAUAUUAAGGUGAUUGUGAAAUUACAGUCUUAACCAAGAAACACUUCUUACCCCGUAUUUUCAUCAUAUCUUUGAAACAUGUUCGGUGGGUUUUAUUUCAGAUCUUAAUGUUAAAUAUACAGUGAGUUCUAUAAUCACCUGGAAGGAGCUUCUAUGGUCUGUUUAGUAAGUACCUAAUUCCAGAUGAUGGUAAAUAUAUUGUUGGUACUGCAAUUUGCAACAGGCCCCUCUUAACCAUUUCAGAAGGUUUCUUAAAUACAUUGAGCAUUUAAAUGUUGUUCUUCUCUUUUACCAUUCAUAUGGAACUGCUAAGUAUUUGCAGUUGAGUCCUUUUUAAACAUGGUAUUUUGGCUUUUUAUGCCUAGUGUGCUUUUCUAGUAGCGUGUCUUCAAGAAAUGGUGUGAAGUGGUUUGUUUGCAUCUAUUUUCUAUUGUUUCUUACUAUUGUUGUCUUCUGUUACAUGUCAGGCUAUGUAACGCUCUUUAGUUCAGGACUGUGGAUCUGUUUUGAAUUAACUUAUUCUCAGUGGUGUCAAUAAACUUUGCUUCUGUCCCCUAA